GAGACAUGAAUCAGACAAAAACCAGAUUUAACAGAACUUAGAACAUCAAAUAACAGAAACUUACCCAAAGGUGUAGAAGUAGCAUGAGCAUUCACAUAGUCCACUUGGUUAGGAUGCAGACCAGCCUGAAACAGCACACUAAGUAAGUACAUAAUAAACUUAAUCUUCUGAUUAUGUAUUAGAGAAAAGAUUAACAAUAUUUAGCAGGCAACUUGUCAGGGUACCAACAGGUCAAGUGACAAUGGAACCAAUGAACCAACUACUAGAAUCCAGAAUUGCACAUUUAAUUGUGAAAUAAACUAUCAUGCAGCUCUUUAUGUCACGAAUCACUAAAGUUCAGUGAUAAUUUUUUUCCACAUUUUCAAGUGACAUAUUCUCAAGCACAAUUGUUUUAUAUGCAGCCACAUAUAACUUGCACGGCUGCCUCACACGCUGCCAAGACCAAAAGAUAACAAUAUCAACAUAAGAAGCUGAGAAUCC
This 480-nucleotide long non-coding RNA is filed under the name Gossypium barbadense (sea-island cotton). Its description in RNAcentral is "long non-coding RNA (GBAR_LNC010105)". The record is from RNAcentral. Lineage: Eukaryota; Viridiplantae; Streptophyta; Magnoliopsida; Malvales; Malvaceae.